Molecule: long non-coding RNA, 221 nt
Organism: Gracilinanus agilis (Agile Gracile Mouse Opossum)
Lineage: Eukaryota; Metazoa; Chordata; Mammalia; Didelphimorphia; Didelphidae
Exons: 3
Source: RefSeq, a predicted model, not a curated record
CAGGAAAAGAAGUCUCAGCAUAGGAGUAGGCAACUCAUUAUCUCACUAGAUCCUACUUGCAGCCUCUGGGAGAUGAAAGCAGUCUGAAGACAAGCCUCUUAGCACUGUACUGGGGGAGCAGCCAGAAGAUACCAAACAGAAGUCCCUGAUGGAGAAAUCAUGACCUAGAAGUGGCCCUUUCUCCUCUAAACCUGCAUCAGUAGAGCACAAGAUCUGAAAGA